GGAUUGUGGCUCAGCGGUAGAGCACUCCUCUAGCACAGGCAGGACUUGGGUUCAAUCCUCAGCACCA
Molecule: transfer RNA, 67 nt
Filed under: Marmota monax (woodchuck)
Lineage: Eukaryota; Metazoa; Chordata; Mammalia; Rodentia; Sciuridae
Description: tRNA.Ala
Source: RNAcentral